RNAcentral lists this ribosomal RNA (512 nucleotides) under uncultured archaeon. RNAcentral describes it as "bacterial SSU rRNA". It matches the Rfam family "Archaeal small subunit ribosomal RNA", at positions 92 to 606 of the family's 1478-position model. The record is from RNAcentral.
AGUAACACGCGGAACAACCUGCCCUUGGGUGGGGGAUAAGCUCGGGAAACUGAGUACAAUACCCCAUAGGCCACCUCUGCUGGAAUGCUUGAUGGCCGAAAGCUCCGGCGCCCAAGGAUGGGUCUGCGGCCUAUCAGGUCGUAGUUGGUGUAACGGACCAACUAGCCUUCGACGGGUACGGGCCUUGAGAGAGGUAGCCCGGAGAUGGACUCUGAGACAUGAGUCCAGGCCCUACGGGGCGCAGCAGGUGCGAAAACUUCGCAAUGUGGGAAACCACGACGAGGGAAAUCCAAGUGCUUACACAAUGUGUAGGCUGUUUCCAUGUCUAAAAAACAUGGAGAGUAAGGGCUGGGUAAGACGGGUGCCAGCCGCCGCGGUAAUACCCGCAGCCCGAGUGGUGGUCGCUAUUAUUGGGCCUAAAACGUCCGUAGCCGGCCCGGUAAAUUCUUGGGGAAAUCGAUCGGCUUAACCGACCGAAGUCCGAGGAGACUGCCGGGCUUGGGACUGGGUGA